UAAGGAAUAUUGCGCAAUGGGGGAAACCCUGACGCAGCAACGCCGCGUGGAGGAUGACACUUUUCGGAGCGUAAACCCCUUUUAUCAGGAAAGAAUAAUGACGGUACCUGAUGAAUAAGCACCGGCUAACUCCGUGCCAGCAGCCGCGGUAAUACGGGGGGUGCAAGCGUUACUCGGAAUCACUGGGCGUAAAGGACGCGUAGGCGGAUUAUCAAGUCUUUUGUGAAAUCUAGUGGCUUAACCACUAAACUGCUUAGGAAACUGAUAGUCUAGAGUAGGGGAGAGGUAGAUGGAAUUCUUGGUGUAGGGGUAAAAUCCGUAGAGAUCAAGAAGAAUACCCAUUGCGAAAGCGAUCUGCUGGAACCUAACUGACGCUGAGGCGUGAAAGCGUGGGUAGCAAACAGG
This 405-nucleotide ribosomal RNA is filed under the name bacterium. RNAcentral describes it as "partial 16S ribosomal RNA". It matches the Rfam family "Bacterial small subunit ribosomal RNA", at positions 355 to 776 of the family's 1533-position model. The record is from RNAcentral.